UGAAUACUUUUUACUUUUAAUACUUGAUGACGUUUUCCCAGAUUACACUCACACACUUGUACUUGUACUCUGACAGAGUAUUAGUACUUUCAGAAAACUUCCCUCCAGCUACAGCUCUGCGUACUAACAGUGUGCAGUUCUGCUUUUUCCCAGAGGGCAGCGAAGGCAACACCGUGUCACUCCACUGUGAAGUGAAGUUGUUGAAGAAAAGAAAAGAAAAGAAAAGAAAAGAAAAGAGAGAAACAUGGACAGAAAACAAACAAGAGACGAGUUCCUGAGUCGAGCAGCGCGAGCGGGAGCUCCGCGGCUCCGCGGCCGCCUCGGGACGCUCCCUCCCCGGCCGCGGCCCCGGCGGCAGGCGGGGCCCCCGCGGACUCACAGCCGCGGACGCGACAGACAGACAGCCGCCAUGAUGAGAACCCGUCUGUCGCUCUGCGUCGCCACAGACACCGACGGACUAACGGAGCUGUCUGUCUUUCUGUCUCGCGGCCUGUCUGUCUCGCGGCCUGUCUGUCGCUCCCCCGCCCGCCCGCCUGUCUGUCUGACUGUCUGUCUGUCUGACUGUCUGUCCGCCGGUCGCUCGCUUCCGCAAACCCAGCCCCGCUCGGCUCGGCACCGGCCCCCCCCUCCCUCCUCCCCCUCCCCGGCUCCCUCCGCCCGAGUGUCCCGGUGUGUCCCGGUCGAUCCUCCGGUGCGUGAUGGUGGAAGAAAGAAAGAAAGAAGAAGAAGGAGAGAAGAGGAGAGAAAGGAAGAGGUUACUCACAGUCACAUCCACCCGUCGGCUGCGCGCUCGCUCUCUCUCUCUCCCGCUCUGUGUGGAUGUCGCUCGACCCGAGCCGCUCCCUCCUGCUGCCGCCGCCUCGCGAUGACGUCAAGCUGGACGACGUGUGAGGUGGACAGCGGCGUUUCCCGUGAACUCUUUCAAAGUAAAACGCGGUAGACGAAAGAAAAGUAAAUUCUUUGUUAAUGAGACAAAAAUAAAGAUAUAACAGUU
This is a long non-coding RNA of Scophthalmus maximus (turbot), 994 nucleotides long. RefSeq lists it as uncharacterized. The record is from RefSeq and is a predicted model, not a curated record. The transcript has 2 exons. NCBI's taxonomy places the organism in Eukaryota, Metazoa, Chordata, Actinopteri, Pleuronectiformes, Scophthalmidae.